This 403-nucleotide RNase P RNA is filed under the name Candidatus Enterococcus dunnyi. Its description in RNAcentral is "Enterococcus sp. 9D6_DIV0238 Bacterial RNase P class B". It matches the Rfam family "Bacterial RNase P class B". Rfam says of the family: Ribonuclease P (RNase P) is a ubiquitous endoribonuclease, found in archaea, bacteria and eukarya as well as chloroplasts and mitochondria. Its best characterised activity is the generation of mature 5'-ends of tRNAs by cleaving the 5'-leader elements of precursor-tRNAs. The record is from Rfam by way of RNAcentral. Lineage: Bacteria; Bacillati; Bacillota; Bacilli; Lactobacillales; Enterococcaceae. RNAcentral also lists the same sequence under 1 other name.
AUUUUCGGGUGAUCGCGGUUUGAUUUAUCAGGCUGAGGAAAGUCCAUGCUCGCACAGACUGAGAUGUCUGUAGUGUUCGUGCUUAGCGAAAACAUAAGCUAAGGUACUUGGAUACAUCAAAGUUGCUUAGGCGGAUUUUAUGUAUUAGAGUAACGGCAGGAAAAAUGACUAAGGUUUCGGCUAUGUCAGAGUACCCUUGAAAGUGCCACAGUGACGAAGCAAUUUUGGAAACGGAAUUGGUGGAACGCGGUAAACCCCUCGAGCGAGCAACCCAAACAAUGGUAGGGGCGCUCUUCUAAAGGAAAUGAACGAGUAGAAGAGGCAGAAUGAUUUCUGCAGAUAGAUGAUGACCAUCGAUUGUUUUUCCCUGAGAAACAGUCGAUACAGAACAUGGCUUACAGAA